AGAUAGACUUUAUGGCCAUCUCUAAAUCCUUUCAUUUACAUUUUAUUUAUGUAAUUGAAUGGUUCCUUCUAUAUCAUGUGUUUUCUGUACUUGUAAUUUCACAAAUUGGUUUCCUAUUGCCUCAGGUUAUUUUCUAUCCAAAUGUUGUAUCCAUUUCUAUUAUCAAGAUUAACCAACAUGCCUGAUUGAAAUAACAAUCACAGCUGGCCAGUGCUGAGUAUCUGAAGAAAAGCCUUAGAAUUCAUUUCUAAACUAAAAGAUGAAGUAAGACCAUCUUGUGCAUCAGUGAGAAGCCUGUAGCUGGAUAAAAGUGAGCUGAGUUUACAAACUGUGGAAUAACCACAAUGCCAUUAUUAGAGCAUUUUUCUUCUCACACUAAAGGAGUCAGUCACACAGUUACAGGAUAUUUGCUGAGUUUCCAGUUGAGGC
This is a long non-coding RNA of Pipra filicauda (Wire-tailed manakin), 429 nucleotides long. RefSeq lists it as uncharacterized. The record is from RefSeq and is a predicted model, not a curated record. Lineage: Eukaryota; Metazoa; Chordata; Aves; Passeriformes; Pipridae. The transcript is spliced from 3 exons.